This 1375-nucleotide long non-coding RNA is filed under the name Phasianus colchicus (ring-necked pheasant). Its description in RNAcentral is "lncRNA (ENSPCLG00000009799.1)". The record is from RNAcentral. Lineage: Eukaryota; Metazoa; Chordata; Aves; Galliformes; Phasianidae.
GUUUCCUGCCAGGUGGGUGCCUGAGGUUCCUGCUGGAGGGCCCUACAGCAUCCCAUAGAAGCACUCUCCUGGUCUCAGCAGCUGAGGCCCCUCCAAACCUGCUUCUGCAAUGGGUGGGUUGUAAGCACUGGUAAUGAGGAGCUGUGGGUCCAGUCAGUCUUGGAGAUGCCGAAGAGACGAGACAUCCUGGCUAUCGUGCUGAUAGUUCUGCCCUGGACACUACUAAUCACCGUCUGGCACCAGAGCACCAUUGCUCCACUGCUUGCAGUGCACAAGGCCAUUCCCAUCUCAGCUCCCGGUCCAUGCUCAUGCAGAAGCUUCCCCACUUCUGCUGCAGGAAGCAGCCCUGUGCUUUCCAGGUGUCUUUGGAGACAUCAACCUCCAAGCCACAGGAUGUGCUCCCUACUCUUGGAGAGCUCUUCCCCACCUAUAUCCAGAUUCAGUGGAACAGAGCACAGAAGGAAAGUACUUCUUUUUUUUUUAAUUUCCCAAUUAUCUCUUUUUUUUUUUUUUAAGGAAGGAGUCUUUCUUCUUGGCUGUUCCUUUCUCUGGGCAUCCUUCUGGGGAAGAAGGCCAGCUCAUUUUCUGUCUCUAGGACCUUGCUUGGGGAGACUUUCUACCCUUUUCAUUUUAAUGUUCACUCCCAUCCUCAGCAGUUUCUUAUUCUUUUGCUGAGCAGUCUGGUGUGCCAUUGGAAUUGUCAGAAGCUCAGAGUCCAUCCUAAGAAGUUUUACCUUUUCCUGGAGGACUCAGACUUCCACAAGGCUUAGGACAGCUCUUAAGAGAAAGGAGAUUGAUCUUCUCCAAAAGGUGAACAGUAUUUCACAGGAUCUGGGAUCUCUAUGGGGUUUAGAAAAAUAUCCUGUCUGUAUAGUGAUUUGAAUCGGUGCUACUAAAAACUAGGACCAGGUUGUUGGUGAAUUGCUGUGACUUCAAUGUCUACGGCCAAGAGACAGCCCUGCUGUGACCUGGUCCUGAACUUGCUGGUGCCCUUGGUAAGAUGCUUCCUCUGAGAGUGCUUCUAUGAGCGCUCAGUGGAAAAUGAGUGGUGAAAGAGACCGACCUGAAGCUCUUGGGAGAAAUUGUUAUGUGCUUGUAAUGCAUUUCUGAGAUCCUUUGGUAGCAGGUGCUGAAAAUGAGAUGUUCAUCUAUAUGCUAGUGGGAACACAGUGACAGUGGAUAAAUGUGUCAGGAUUUACAGCUGAGGAUUUGAUCUGAGAGGGUUUGCAAACUAUCUCAUGUCUCCUUCAGGCUCCAUCCUGGCUAAUUACCUUGUGCCCGUGUCCAAUGCAUUUUGCAGUUUCAUUUUUAGGUUGAUUCUGGUGCUCUGUGCUGUCAGAGAGCUCUGUUAUGCAAUGCAGAUGUGCUUCACCCU